Molecule: small nucleolar RNA, 101 nt
Filed under: Carlito syrichta (Philippine tarsier)
Lineage: Eukaryota; Metazoa; Chordata; Mammalia; Primates; Tarsiidae
Description: Small nucleolar RNA ACA64 (ENSTSYG00000025280.2)
Rfam family: Small nucleolar RNA ACA64
Source: Rfam by way of RNAcentral
GUUCUCCAAAAAUUUUCCCACUGGCACCCAGAGCCACCGGGGGCCUCAGCUCACCACCCACUGCCUCGUGCGCAAGGGUGAAACCCAGGGCUCCAAUAGUC